GGCGGGGUAGCUCAGUUGGUUAGAGCACAGGAUUCAUAACCCUGAGGUCGGCGGUUCAAGCCCGCCUCCCGCUA
This 74-nucleotide transfer RNA is filed under the name Janthinobacterium lividum. Its description in RNAcentral is "tRNA-Met". It matches the Rfam family "tRNA". Rfam says of the family: Transfer RNA (tRNA) molecules are approximately 80 nucleotides in length. Their secondary structure includes four short double-helical elements and three loops (D, anti-codon, and T loops). Further hydrogen bonds mediate the characteristic L-shaped molecular structure. tRNAs have two regions of fundamental functional importance: the anti-codon, which is responsible for specific mRNA codon recognition, and the 3' end, to which the tRNAs corresponding amino acid is attached (by aminoacyl-tRNA synthetases). tRNAs cope with the degeneracy of the genetic code in two manners: having more than one tRNA (with a specific anti-codon) for a particular amino acid; and 'wobble' base-pairing, i.e. permitting non-standard base-pairing at the 3rd anti-codon position. The record is from RNAcentral. RNAcentral also lists the same sequence under 1 other name. Lineage: Bacteria; Pseudomonadati; Pseudomonadota; Betaproteobacteria; Burkholderiales; Oxalobacteraceae.